This 694-nucleotide ribosomal RNA is filed under the name uncultured bacterium. RNAcentral's name for it is "bacterial SSU rRNA". It matches the Rfam family "Bacterial small subunit ribosomal RNA", at positions 126 to 807 of the family's 1533-position model. The record is from RNAcentral.
CUGCCCAAGAGACUGGGAUAACACCUGGAAACAGAUGCUAAUACGGGAUAACAACACUAGACGCAUGUCUAGAGUUUGAAAGAUGGUUCUGCUAUCACUCUUGGAUGGACCUGCGGUGCAUUAGCUAGUUGGUAAGGUAACGGCUUACCAAGGCAAUGAUGCAUAGCCGAGUUGAGAGACUGAUCGGCCACAUUGGGACUGAGACACGGCCCAAACUCCUACGGGAGGCAGCAGUAGGGAAUCUUCCACAAUGGACGAAAGUCUGAUGGAGCAACGCCGCGUGAGUGAAGAAGGGUUUCGGCUCGUAAAGCUCUGUUGGUAGUGAAGAAAGAUAGAGGUAGUAACUGGCCUUUAUUUGACGGUAAUUACUUAGAAAGUCACGGCUAACUACGUGCCAGCAGCCGCGGUAAUACGUAGGUGGCAAGCGUUGUCCGGAUUUAUUGGGCGUAAAGCGAGUGCAGGCGGUUCAAUAAGUCUGAUGUGAAAGCCUUCGGCUCAACCGGAGAAUUGCAUCAGAAACUGUUGAACUUGAGUGCAGAAGAGGAGAGUGGAACUCCAUGUGUAGCGGUGGAAUGCGUAGAUAUAUGGAAGAACACCAGUGGCGAAGGCGGCUCUCUGGUCUGCAACUGACGCUGAGGCUCGAAAGCAUGGGUAGCGAACAGGAUUAGAUACCCUGGUAGUCCAUGCCGUAAAC